Long non-coding RNA from Hydra vulgaris (swiftwater hydra), 2509 nucleotides. RefSeq lists it as uncharacterized. The record is from RefSeq and is a predicted model, not a curated record. NCBI's taxonomy places the organism in Eukaryota, Metazoa, Cnidaria, Hydrozoa, Anthoathecata, Hydridae.
UAUUAGUCAUUUAGAGAACACUUGACUUGAAAAUAUUUUGUAAAGAAAAGCUAUAUUUUUCACUUCAGUGUAUUAAAUAUCAACGGAGGUUUGCGUUGUUUUAUUUUUUAACAGUACAUAAAACGACCUAACGUUACAAAUUGGUUCAAUACUAAGUUAACAAUAUGAUGAAGUUUAACUACAUCUUUUUUAUUUUCACUUUUAUUUUGGUGAUUAAAUUUACUAAAUGCAAACUAAAAGGUGUCAAUCCCGAUUCGAAAAAUGCGGUUGAAUAUGGUUGCUAUCUAAAAAAAUGUUGGUCCAGUUGUAAUUUCCCAUCAAACUCUUGGUGUUGGUCAAAUGCACUAGUAGGACAAGGGGUACGUACUUGUAAAGUUGAUAAAGACUGUGACAAAUAUCGGUACAAAUGUCAAGGUUCCUGUCAUCUAUCCUCAAGUUAAUAAAACUUUUUUUUUUAUUGAUUAUUAUUAAUUUUUUAUUUUAAACCAUUUAUUGGUUAUUUAAAAGUUUGUAAAUUUAUUAUGGCGGUUGUUUUUAUUUUUUUAUUAUUUGUAAAUAUUUUAAAAAUAUAAAAUAUUCGCCUUCGAAAUUGGUAUGUAAAUGCAUGAUUUUGUACCUUAUAAUUUCUCAUUCGGCGUGUCUCCAAUGAGGAUUGAGAAGCGGCUAGCUAAGCAUCAGGGUCAAGUUUACUAAGUUUGAAAUCUUUUUUUUUUUAAACUUAAGUUUGAGUUUAAUUAAUGUCUGAUUUGUCAUAAAGACUCCAAGGUAUCAAAAAGAAAGCAGAAACAAAUUUUGGUAUUUUUAAACAAGUGGUAAAAUUUAUGCAAAACUUUUUAAAUUCUUCAAGCAAAAUAAUAUUAAAAGCACGAACGCAUUUAUAAUGACCAAUCAAAUGUUAUUCUUUUAAGUAUUUAAAUAACAUUUUUUUUUUUUUUAAUUAUUGAAGUUUCUUUCAUCAAAUGUUUUAUCAAGUAUCAUAAUAACAAAGUUAGUUGUCACAACAAUAAGGCGUAUUUAUAAAAUGUUAUAAGAACUAAAUGUAAAGUGUUUGUUCUCUUUUAACCCAGCAUGCAACAUACAUAUAAAAUACGUCUUUGCAAACUCUGAGAAGUGCAUUUUUUAAAUAUUUAAUGCAAACCUGUAAUAUAUAUUUCUAAGUUAAGAAAUACAUCUCAACAAUAAAGAUGGAAUGUUUUCACUUGUUAAUACAUAAUUCAUAUUGACACAGUUCAUUAUUUUUUUAAAAAUAUUUAAUAUACUUAUACUGUUUACUGUUUUUUAUUUCAAGCUAUAAUAGCUUCUAAGCUAUAAUAAAUUCAUCCAUUGACCAGGUCCAUGUAGAUGGAGGGGUAAGAAAUUUAAUUCAAUAUCUUCUCACUGGAUACAUAGUUAAUGGUUUGUUAAGGGUACUUAAAUAAAAAAUACAACUUCAAUGGCUUCAAGUUUACUUCAGGCUAGAUUAACAGGUAGUAACAAAUAUUUAGUUAAUUCUUACAGGGGAAUUUAAAACUGAUCAAAAUGUUAUGAAUUCUAGACUAAUUUAGUUUAGCUUUGGUACGCUCAGUUUGUUUAUCAACGCAACAUGUUUUUCUCAUAAAACAUUAACGCAUUAACCUCAACGCGAAUUUUAUUACAAUAUAUUUUUUAUGUUCUAUUUAACUUUAGUUUUUUAAUUAAAACUAAAAUGCUUUACUCAUUAAGAGAGCUGGUGAAAUUUUUGCAGAGGUUUACUAUUUUUUUUAAUGUUAAUUUAUUGAAUGUUGUAAGCUGGUAUCAAUCUUAUUUUUUAGAUCGGAAACAACUUGUAAGUAUUAAUUUUCAUAAUUUUAGUAAUAAACUUGUGUCAUGGUUCUGUUUUUGGUUUUUAAUUUACAUUAGUGUAUUGAUCGGGGACUGUAUAUAUAAUUAUAUAUACAGUCCCCAAUCAAAUUAUUAGCCCACGUUGAUAUUUUUUGUACUUUUUAUCUUCUUAGAGGUAAAACUUAUGUUUUUAUAAAAAUGUAGAUAAAAACUGUAUAUAUAAAUAAAGUAUAACUAUUUUCUAACAUGAGCUACACAAAAUAAUAAUAAGAAUAUGUUUAUUAACUUUUUUAAUAUUUUGUUGAUCCUCCCGUAUUUUUUUUUAACUGCACGAAGACGAUUUGACAUGCUAAAAAUGCAAUUUAUAGCCAUUUUUUUCAAGUAUACAUUAUGGUUCCGAUACCAAUUAAGUUUUUCAAUCAAUUGGGUCUUAUUUGUGAACUUUUUUAGCAAAACUUCUCUAUUCAAUAGCUCCCAUACAUUUUCUAUGGUGUUUAUAUCUUAGGAGUUCCCUAGCCAAUUAAAAAGUGGAAUUUUUACAGAUGCUAAUAAUUUUUUAAUGGAUUUUGCCGUGUGACAUGGUGCUCCAUCUUGCAUAAAUAUUUUCUUCUGCUAACUUGGAAACCAUUUUUUCAAUUGAGAACAAAGAAAACAAGGUUUCUGAAAGAAGAUCAACUGAUCUUAUCAUGGUGAGAAACUACUGAACUUA